UUACCGCCUUGACAGCGAGAGACUAGUUCGGACAGGUGCUGCAUGGCUGUCGUCAGCUCGUGUCGUGAGAUGUUGGGUUAAGUCCCGCAACGAGCGCAACCCCGGCUUAGUUGCCAUCAUUGGGACUCUAAGCAACUGCCGGUGAUAACCGGAGGAAGGUGGGGAUGACGUCAAGUCCUCAUGGCCCUUACGGCGGGCUACACACGUGCUACAAUGGGUGACAAGGGGCAGGGCAACCUUCGCAAUCUCAAAAACGUCUCAGUUCGGAUUGGGGUCUGCAACUCGACCCCAUGAAGUUGGAAUCGCUAGUAAUCGCAAUCAGCACGUGCGGUGAAUACGUUCCCGGGCCUUGUACACACCGCCCGUCACACCAUGGGAGUUGGUUACCGAA
This 391-nucleotide ribosomal RNA is filed under the name uncultured bacterium. RNAcentral describes it as "bacterial SSU rRNA". It matches the Rfam family "Bacterial small subunit ribosomal RNA", at positions 971 to 1425 of the family's 1533-position model. The record is from RNAcentral.